This 265-nucleotide long non-coding RNA is filed under the name Homo sapiens (human). RNAcentral describes it as "HSALNT0119083". Lineage: Eukaryota; Metazoa; Chordata; Mammalia; Primates; Hominidae. The record is from RNAcentral.
CAAAAACCUACGGGUAAUAAUCUUUAUAUCUUCUACUGUGAGCAUAAUGGAGGUUGACAUUGUGAAGUUUAAGGAAAUACGUGAAAGGUGAAAAGUAAUUUAAAAUAAGGCAUUCAGGAAGCAAGUACCUUUUCAAAUACUAUUAGUAGGAAGCAAGUUGAAAAUGGUAAGACAUAAUACAUUUAUUUACUAUUUUACCUCAUCUUUUUUCAAAAGUAUAGGGCAAUAGGCAGGUGAUAUUUUGACGCUAUUGAUGAAAAUAAAC